GGUCGAACGAACUCUGGUAUUGAUUGGUGCUUGCAUCAUGAUUUACAUUUGAGUGAGUGGCGAACUGGUGAGUAACACGUGGGAAACCUGCCCAGAAGCGGGGGAUAACACCUGGAAACAGAUGCUAAUACCGCAUAACAACUUGGACCGCAUGGUCCGAGUUUGAAAGAUGGCUUCGGCUAUCACUUUUGGAUGGUCCCGCGGCGUAUUAGCUAGAUGGUGGGGUAACGGCUCACCAUGGCAAUGAUACGUAGCCGACCUGAGAGGGUAAUCGGCCACAUUGGGACUGAGACACGGCCCAAACUCCUACGGGAGGCAGCAGUAGGGAAUCUUCCACAAUGGACGAAAGUCUGAUGGAGCAACGCCGCGUGAGUGAAGAAGGGUUUCGGCUCGUAAAACUCUGUUGUUAAAGAAGAACAUAUCUGAGAGUAACUGUUCAGGUAUUGACGGUAUUUAACCAGAAAGCCACGGCUAACUACGUGCCAGCAGCCGCGGUAAUACGUAGGUGGCAAGCGUUGUCCGGAUUUAUUGGGCGUAAAGCGAGCGCAGGCGGUUUUUUAAGUCUGAUGUGAAAGCCUUCGGCUCAACCGAAGAAGUGCAUCGGAAACUGGGAAACUUGAGUGCAGAAGAGGACAGUGGAACUCCAUGUGUAGCGGUGAAAUGCGUAGAUAUAUGGAAGAACACCAGUGGCGAAGGCGGCUGUCUGGUCUGUAACUGACGCUGAGGCUCGAAAGUAUGGGUAGCAAACAGGAUUAGAUACCCUGGUAGUCCAUACCGUAAACGAUGAAUGCUAAGUGUUGGAGGGUUUCCGCCCUUCAGUGCUGCAGCUAACGCAUUAAGCAUUCCGCCUGGGGAGUACGGCCGCAAGGCUGAAACUCAAAGGAAUUGACGGGGGCCCGCACAAGCGGUGGAGCAUGUGGUUUAAUUCGAAGCUACGCGAAGAACCUUACCAGGUCUUGACAUACUAUGCAAAUCUAAGAGAUUAGACGUUCCCUUCGGGGACAUGGAUACAGGUGGUGCAUGGUUGUCGUCAGCUCGUGUCGUGAGAUGUUGGGUUAAGUCCCGCAACGAGCGCAACCCUUAUUAUCAGUUGCCAGCAUUAAGUUGGGCACUCUGGUGAGACUGCCGGUGACAAACCGGAGGAAGGUGGGGAUGACGUCAAAUCAUCAUGCCCCUUAUGACCUGGGCUACACACGUGCUACAAUGGAUGGUACAACGAGUUGCGAACUCGCGAGAGUAAGCUAAUCUCUUAAAGCCAUUCUCAGUUCGGAUUGUAGGCUGCAACUCGCCUACAUGAAGUCGGAAUCGCUAGUAAUCGCGGAUCAGCAUGCCGCGGUGAAUACGUUCCCGGGCCUUGUACACACCGCCCGUCACACCAUGAGAGUUUGUAACACCCAAAGUCGGUGGGGUAACCUUUUAGGAACCAGCCGC
Molecule: ribosomal RNA, 1431 nt
Filed under: Lactiplantibacillus plantarum
Lineage: Bacteria; Bacillati; Bacillota; Bacilli; Lactobacillales; Lactobacillaceae
Description: bacterial SSU rRNA
Rfam family: Bacterial small subunit ribosomal RNA
Source: RNAcentral